GACGAACGCUGGCGGCGUGCUUAACACAUGCAAGUCGAACGGAAAGGCCCUGCUUUUGUGGGGUGCUCGAGUGGCGAACGGGUGAGUAACACGUGAGUAACCUGCCCUUGACUUUGGGAUAACUUCAGGAAACUGGGGCUAAUACCUGCUAGGAGCUCCUGCUGCAUGGUGUGGGUUGGAGAGUUUCGGCGGUUGGGGAUGGACUCGCGGCUUAUCAGCUUGUUGGUGGGGUAGUGGCUUACCAAGGCUUUGACGGGUAGCCGGCCUGCGAGGGUGACCGGCCACAUUGGGACUGAGGUACGGCCCAGACUCCUACGGGAGGCAGCAGUGGGGAAUAUUGCACAAUGGGCGGAAGCCUGAUGCAGCAACGCCGCGUGCGGGAUGACGGCUUUCGGGUUGUAAACCGCUUUCGCCUGUGACGAAGCGUGAGUGACGGUAAUGGGUAAAGAAGCACCGGCUAACUACGUG
Molecule: ribosomal RNA, 468 nt
Filed under: uncultured bacterium
Lineage: Bacteria
Description: partial 16S ribosomal RNA
Rfam family: Bacterial small subunit ribosomal RNA
Source: RNAcentral